RNAcentral lists this ribosomal RNA (408 nucleotides) under uncultured rumen bacterium. RNAcentral describes it as "bacterial SSU rRNA". It matches the Rfam family "Bacterial small subunit ribosomal RNA", at positions 354 to 776 of the family's 1533-position model. The record is from RNAcentral.
GUGGGGAAUAUUGGGCAAUGGGCGAAAGCCUGACCCAGCAACGCCGCGUGAGGGAAGAAGGUUUUCGGAUUGUAAACCUCUGUCCUAAGUGACGAAGGAAGUGACGGUAGCUUAGGAGGAAGCCCCGGCUAACUACGUGCCAGCAGCCGCGGUAAUACGUAGGGGGCAAGCGUUGUCCGGAAUGACUGGGCGUAAAGGGCGUGUAGGCGGUUGAGUAAGUUGGGAGUGAAACUCCUGUUUUCAAGGCAGGAACUGCUCUCAAAACUGCUUGACUUGAGUGCGGAAGAGGUAAGUGGAAUUCCCAGUGUAGCGGUGAAAUGCGUAGAGAUUGGGAGGAACACCAGUGGCGAAGGCGACUUACUGGGCCGUAACUGACGCUGAGGCGCGAAAGCGUGGGGAGCAAACAGG